GACGAACGCUGGCGGCGUGCUUAGCACAUGCAAGUCGAGCGGUAAGGCCUCUUCGGGGGUACACGAGCGGCGAACGGGUGAGUAACACGUGGGUGACCUGCCCUCAGCUCUGGGAUAAGCCUGGGAAACUGGGUCUAAUACCGGAUAUGACCUUUCCUCGCAUGGGGUUUGGUGGAAAGUUUUUUCGGCUGGGGAUGGGCCCGCGGCCUAUCAGCUUGUUGGUGGGGUGAUGGCCUACCAAGGCGACGACGGGUAGCCGGCCUGAGAGGGCGACCGGCCACACUGGGACUGAGACACGGCCCAGACUCCUACGGGAGGGAGCAGUGGGGAAGAUUGCGCAAUGGGCGGAAGCCUGACGCAGCGACGCCGCGUGGGGGAUGACGGCCUUCGGGUUGGAAACCUCUUUCGACCCCGACGAAUUUGGACGGUAGGGGUAGAAGAAGCACCGGCCAACUACGUG
RNAcentral lists this ribosomal RNA (460 nucleotides) under uncultured bacterium. Its description in RNAcentral is "partial 16S ribosomal RNA". It matches the Rfam family "Bacterial small subunit ribosomal RNA", at positions 28 to 507 of the family's 1533-position model. The record is from RNAcentral.